UAGGGAAUCUUCGGCAAUGGACGAAAGUCUGACCGAGCAACGCCGCGUGAGUGAAGAAGGUUUUCGGAUCGUAAAACUCUGUUGUUAGAGAAGAACAAGGACGUUAGUAACUGAACGUCCCCUGACGGUAUCUAACCAGAAAGCCACGGCUAACUACGUGCCAGCAGCCGCGGUAAUACGUAGGUGGCAAGCGUUGUCCGGAUUUAUUGGGCGUAAAGCGAGCGCAGGCGGUUUCUUAAGUCUGAUGUGAAAGCCCCCGGCUCAACCGGGGAGGGUCAUUGGAAACUGGAAGAAUUGAGUGCAGAAUAGGAGAGUGGAAUUACAUGUGUAGCGGUGAAAUGCGUAGAUAUAUGGGGGAAAACCAGUAGCGAAGGCGGCUCUCUGGUCUGUAACUGACGCUGAGGCUCGAAAGCGUGGGGAGCAAACAGG
RNAcentral lists this ribosomal RNA (429 nucleotides) under Gemmatimonadota bacterium. RNAcentral's name for it is "Gemmatimonadetes bacterium partial 16S ribosomal RNA". It matches the Rfam family "Bacterial small subunit ribosomal RNA", at positions 355 to 776 of the family's 1533-position model. Lineage: Bacteria; Pseudomonadati; Gemmatimonadota. The record is from RNAcentral.